RNAcentral lists this ribosomal RNA (466 nucleotides) under Embiotoca caryi (rainbow seaperch). RNAcentral describes it as "Hypsurus caryi (rainbow seaperch) partial 16S ribosomal RNA". It matches the Rfam family "Bacterial large subunit ribosomal RNA", at positions 1913 to 2530 of the family's 2925-position model. Lineage: Eukaryota; Metazoa; Chordata; Actinopteri; Embiotocidae. The record is from RNAcentral.
UGACCAUGAGUUUAACGGCCGCGGUAUUUUGACCGUGCAAAGGUAGCGCAAUCACUUGUCUUUUAAAUGAAGACCUGUAUGAAUGGCACGACGAGGGCUUAACUGUCUCCUUUUUCCAGUCAAUGAAAUUGAUCUCCCCGUGCAGAAGCGGGGAUGUGAACAUUAGACGAGAAGACCCUAUGGAGCUUUAGACAUCAGGACAGUCCAUGUCAAACACCCCCAUUUAAAGGACUGAACUUAUUGGACCCUGUUCUAAUGUCUUUGGUUGGGGCGACCACGGGGAAACACAAAACCCCCAUGUGGACCAGGAACACUUCUUCCUACAACUAAGAGCUACAGCUCUAAUUAACAGAACUUCUGACCAGAAAUGAUCCGGCAAUGCUGAUCAACGGACCGAGUUACCCUAGGGAUAACAGCGCAAUCCCCUCUUAGAGCCCAUAUCGACGAGGGGGUUUACGACCUCGAU